This 502-nucleotide ribosomal RNA is filed under the name Discus catskillensis. Its description in RNAcentral is "partial 16S ribosomal RNA". It matches the Rfam family "Bacterial large subunit ribosomal RNA", at positions 1800 to 2616 of the family's 2925-position model. Lineage: Eukaryota; Metazoa; Mollusca; Gastropoda; Stylommatophora; Endodontidae. The record is from RNAcentral.
CUGUUUAUCAAAAACAUAGCCUAAUGAUUAUUAAUGUCAGGUUUAUUCUGCUCAGUGAAUCACUAAAUUUAUCAACAGCCGCAGUAAUCUGACUGUGCUAAGGUAGCAUAAUAAAUUGGCCUUUAAUUAGGGUCUGGAAUGAAAGGAAUUAUAUAUAGUAGCUGUCUCAAGUUGUGCAUUUUUCUUAACUUACUCAUAAGGUGAAAAUUCCUUAAAUUCUAUAGAUAGACGAGAAGACCCUUAGAAUUUUUAUUAGCCUAGUAGUAUCACUAUUUACUUCUCUUUUUUGUUGGGGCGACAAGUAAUCAGAUAAAACAUUACUUUGGAAGAUAUUAUUACAUGACUAUGUUUUGAUUAGUGAGACUAAAUUACCUGAGGGAUAACAGCAUAAUAUUAAUUACAUGUUUAUGACCUCGAUGUUGGACUAGGGAAAUAAUAGGCUAGCAGUCUAUAAAUUAAGUUCUGUUCGAACUUUAUACCCCUACGUGAUCUGAGUUCAGAC